RNAcentral lists this ribosomal RNA (422 nucleotides) under uncultured Streptococcus sp. RNAcentral describes it as "bacterial SSU rRNA". It matches the Rfam family "Bacterial small subunit ribosomal RNA", at positions 957 to 1382 of the family's 1533-position model. The record is from RNAcentral. Lineage: Bacteria; Bacillati; Bacillota; Bacilli; Lactobacillales; Streptococcaceae.
CAACGCGAAGAACUUACCAGGUCUUGACAUCCCGAUGCUAUUCUUAGAGAUAGAAAGUUACUUCGGUACAUCGGUGACAGGUGGUGCAUGGUUGUCGUCAGCUCGUGUCGUGAGAUGUUGGGUUAAGUCCCGCAACGAGCGCAACCCCUAUUGUUAGUUGCCAUCAUUCAGUUGGGCACUCUAGCGAGACUGCCGGUAAUAAACCGGAGGAAGUGGGGAUGACGUCAAAUCAUCAUGCCCCUUAUGACCUGGGCUACACACGUGCUACAAUGGUUGGUACAACGAGUUGCGAGUCGGUGACGGCGAGCUAAUCUCUUAAAGCCAAUCUCAGUUCGGAUUGUAGGCUGCAACUCGCCUACAUGAAGUCGGAAUCGCUAGUAAUCGCGGAUCAGCACGCCGCGGCGAAUACGUUCCCGGGCCUU